UUAAUUAUUUCUAUAUAGAGGAUUCUAUUACGAAUCAUUAAAAAUGGAAAAUAUUUAUGUAUAUAUUAUCGAGAAUUUUUUAAAGUGCUAUUUGUUACCACUGUUCUUUAGGACAUUGAGCUCCCUUUAUUAGGAUAUUAAUACUAAUGUCAAAUAAAAUUAUAUGUUGAAUAUUAGUACUAAUUUUGACUUCUUUUUUUGUUUCAGGUACGUACGUUGUUAACACUCUUUCGUAUCUAGAAAAACACGGUAUGAGCAAAGUAAUCAUUAUCGUCCCCAAUAAAUACUGUAAACAGUAAGGGAAGGGACGGCUCUACCCGGCCUACAGUUUGAGCGGCAGCGAGGGUGAGGAAAAUUCGCCAAGCCUGCGAGGUCGUACUCCCGCCUACCCUCAAAAUAAUCACCAGACCACGCAAUCACACCUGAAUCACUACAACGCCAGUCAGCAUAAACAACGUGCCUAUCAACAACAACAGCAGCAUCCCCUGUAUCAUAUGCCCAGCACUGGUGCUGGACUUAGCGACACACCAACUUCCGGUAACGCGUCCGACGAAACCCUCACCGACAGUGACCUGAUCACUGUUGCCCGUGACUCUGCUCUGCUCGUUCAUAACGCUGAAAUAAGAACGGACCUAAUCUACUGCUGUUGGUAGUGCUCGCGUUACGUCCUCGAGCGGGCGUCCUGGAGAAGAG
RNAcentral lists this unclassified non-coding RNA (693 nucleotides) under Bombus terrestris (buff-tailed bumblebee). Its description in RNAcentral is "misc RNA ENSBTSG00005035200.1". The record is from RNAcentral. Lineage: Eukaryota; Metazoa; Arthropoda; Insecta; Hymenoptera; Apidae.